UUACUUUCCAGACCCUUCUCCAAACCCUUCCCCUUCAUCUUCCUCUCUAAAGUUGCUCACCUGACUGUUUAAGUCGAAAAUGAACGACACUCCAGAAAGAGGGGAAAAAAAGAAAAGAAUGAUCUACUGUUACAGACCACAAGACACAACAACAAACAGUUUGCCUAUAUUUGCGACACCUGUAAGCAUAUGGCAUGUUAAAGAAGUACUGCUCAUGCUUCUGAUGCAACUCAUUCCGACUAUGGUUAAAUUGGUAGACUGGUCAACCUUCUUUAUCCUUACCACUUCCUUCAGACGCUUUGGGGCCAUCAUAAGCAUAUGAGAGGAAAGUACCCUGGUUUUUCUGCAAAAACCUGCAACAAAAGCAUACACAAAAUAAAGGCUCAUCGCAAAAUAAUACAUCAAUACAAUAGGUGUUUCCUGAAUCCAUGUCAUCUUGGAAACACUACAGCCCUGCCAGGAAAACUACAAUGGAAUUCAUUAAUGUUGCUGUUGAACUGGUUCUUACAGAAGGCAGAAACAAAGGAUAUCUUUUAUUCCUUUUUUAUUUUUCAUCAGUUACAAUAACAAAAGCACUUCCCUUCUGUUGAUCAUUUAUAACAUAUCUAAUGCAAUUCCUUUUCAGGCACAUUACCGUACUAAUGAAAAAGUCGGGCUAACCUAAUAUUCAGAAGUUACAGAAAGAGCUUAUAUUAUUGAAUAUCUUCUUUUUUUUUUUUUGACAAGGUUAAUAUCUUUUUUUGAAUAUCUUAAGCUUAAUAUGUUUUCCUUGAAAAUUGUCAGGGAAGUUAACAAUCCAAUGUAAGCUAGUGAAAUUUCUGCCUUGGUGCUUUCUAGAAGAGAAUGGAGAAUCAUGUGAUUAGACCAAUAAAUAACGAUUGAGUUUGGAGAAGGGUCUGGAAAGUAACGAUUGAGUAAAUAAAUACCUGGGGGUCGGGGCGGGUUAUUUGGCUUCGGAUCGGUCGGGUGGCAAGACUUCAAUGGGUGGGUUAAUAUGAACCAAU
Molecule: long non-coding RNA, 1004 nt
Filed under: Nicotiana benthamiana
Lineage: Eukaryota; Viridiplantae; Streptophyta; Magnoliopsida; Solanales; Solanaceae
Description: long non-coding RNA (NBEN_LNC019785)
Source: RNAcentral